RNAcentral lists this ribosomal RNA (253 nucleotides) under uncultured bacterium. RNAcentral describes it as "partial 16S ribosomal RNA". It matches the Rfam family "Bacterial small subunit ribosomal RNA", at positions 524 to 776 of the family's 1533-position model. The record is from RNAcentral.
UACAGAGGUCUCAAGCGUUGUUCGGAUUCAUUGGGCGUAAAGGGUGCGUAGGUGGCGCCGUAAGUCAGGUGUGAAAUUUCGAGGCUUAACCUCGAAACUGCAUUUGAUACUGCGGUGCUUGAGCACUGUAGGGGCAGAUGGAAUUCCGGGUGUAGCGGUGGAAUGCGUAGAGAUCCGGAAGAACACCGGUGGCGAAGGCGGUCUGCUGGGCAGUUGCUGACACUGAGGCGCGACAGCGUGGGGAGCAAACAGG